GAUGAACGCUGGCGGCGUGCCUAAUACAUGCAAGUCGAGCGAAUGGAUUAAGAGCUUGCUCUUAUGAAGUUAGCGGCGGACGGGUGAGUGACACGUGGGUAACCUGCCCAUAAGACUGGGAUAACUCCGGGAAACCGGGGCUAAUACCGGAUAACAUUUUGAACCGCAUGGUUCGAAAUUGAAAGGCGGCUUCGGCUGUCACUUAUGGAUGGACCCGCGUCGCAUUAGCUAGUUGGUGAGGUAACGGCUCACCAAGGCAACGAUGCGUAGCCGACCUGAGAGGGUGAUCGGCCACGCUGGGCCUGAGACACGGCCCAGAGUCCUACGAGAGACAGCAGUAGGGAAUCUUCCGCAAUGGACGAAAGUCUGACGGAGCAACGCCGCGUGAGUGAUGGAGGCUUUCGGGGCGUAAAACUCUGUUGUUAAGGAAGAACAAGUGCUAGUUGAAUAAGCUGGCACCUUGACGGUACCUAACCAGAAAGCCACGGCUAACUACGUGCCAGCCGCCGCAGUAA
Molecule: ribosomal RNA, 515 nt
Filed under: uncultured bacterium
Lineage: Bacteria
Description: partial 16S ribosomal RNA
Rfam family: Bacterial small subunit ribosomal RNA
Source: RNAcentral